This 253-nucleotide ribosomal RNA is filed under the name uncultured bacterium. RNAcentral's name for it is "partial 16S ribosomal RNA". It matches the Rfam family "Bacterial small subunit ribosomal RNA", at positions 524 to 776 of the family's 1533-position model. The record is from RNAcentral.
GACAGAGGUGCCAAGCGUUAGGCGGAAUCACUGGGCUUAAAGCGUGUGUAGGUGGAUUUGUAAGUACCUUGUGAAAUCCCAUGGCUCAACCAUGGAACUGCUCGGUAUACUGCGAAUCUUGAGCCACUUAGGGGCUACCGGAACAAAUGGUGGAGCGGUGAAAUGCGUAGAUAUCAUGUGGAACGCCAAUGGUGAAAACAGGUAGCUGGGAGUGUGCUGACACUGAGACACGAAAGCCAGGGGAGCGAACGGG